Molecule: ribosomal RNA, 459 nt
Filed under: uncultured bacterium
Lineage: Bacteria
Description: partial 16S ribosomal RNA
Rfam family: Bacterial small subunit ribosomal RNA
Source: RNAcentral
CCUACGGGUGGCAGCAGUGAGGAAUAUUGGUCAAUGGGCGAGAGCCUGAACCAGCCAAGUCGCGUGAGGGAAGACGGUCCUAUGGAUUGUAAACCUCUUUUGCCGGGGAGCAAAAGACGCCACGCGUGGCGUUCUGAGAGUACCCGAAGAAAAAGCAUCGGCUAACUCCGUGCCAGCAGCCGCGGUAAUACGGGGGAUGCGAGCGUUAUCCGGAUUUAUUGGGUUUAAAGGGUGCGCAGGCGGAAGAUCAAGUCAGCGGUAAAAUUGAGAGGCCAAACCUCUUCGAGCCGUUGAAACUGGUUUUCUUGAGUGAGCGAGAGGUAUGCGGAAUGCGUGGUGUAGCGGUGAAAUGCAUAGAUAUCACGCAGAACUCCGAUUGCGAAGGCAGCAUACCGGCGCUCAACUGACGCUCAUGCACGAAAGUGUGGGUAUCGAACAGGAUUAGAUACCCCGGUAGUC